GGGUUGUGAGGUUAAGCGACUAAGCGUACACGGUGGAUGCCCUGGCAGUCAGAGGCGAUGAAGGACGUGCUAAUCUGCGAAAAGCGCCGGCGAGGUGAUAUGAACCCUUGACCCGGCGAUGUCCGAAUGGGGAAACCCAGUGUGAUUCGUCACACUAUCGUUAGCUGAAUACAUAGGUUAACGAGGCGAACCGGGGGAACUGAAACAUCUAAGUACCCCGAGGAAAAGAAAUCAACCGAGAUUCCCCCAGUAGCGGCGAGCGAACGGGGAGCAGCCCGGAGUCUGAAUCAGCUUGUGUGUUAGUGGAAGCGUCUGGAAAGUCGCAGGGUACAGGGUGAUACUCCCGUACACGAAAGCACACUUGCUGUGAACUCGAAGAGUAGGGCGGGACACGUGGUAUCCUGUCUGAAUAUGGGGGGACCAUCCUCCAAGGCUAAAUACUCCUGACUGACCGAUAGUGAAUCAGUACCGUGAGGGAAAGGCGAAAAGAACCCCGGCGAGGGGAGUGAAAAAGAACCUGAAACCGUGUACGUACAAGCAGUGGGAGCACCUUCGGGUGUGACUGCGUACCUUUUGUAUAAUGGGUCAGCGACUUAUAUUCUGUAGCAAGGUUAACCGUAUAGGGGAGCCGAAGGGAAACCGAGUCUUAACUGGGCGUUAAGUUGCAGGGUAUAGACCCGAAACCCGGUGAUCUAGCCAUGGGCAGGUUGAAGGUUGGGUAACACUAACUGGAGGACCGAACCGACUAAUGUUGAAAAAUUAGCGGAUGACCUGUGGCUGGGGGUGAAAGGCCAAUCAAACCGGGAGAUAGCUGGUUCUCCCCGAAAGCUAUUUAGGUAGCGCCUCGUGAACUCAUCUCCGGGGGUAGAGCACUGUUUCGGCUAGGGGGCCAUCCCGGCUUACCAACCCGAUGCAAACUGCGAAUACCGGAGAAUGUUAUCACGGGAGACACACGGCGGGUGCUAACGUCCGUCGUGAAGAGGGAAACAACCCAGACCGCCAGCUAAGGUCCCAAAGUCAUGGUUAAGUGGGAAACGAUGUGGGAAGGCACAGACAGCCAGGAUGUUGGCUUAGAAGCAGCCAUCAUUUAAAGAAAGCGUAAUAGCUCACUGGUCGAGUCGGCCUGCGCGGAAGAUGUAACGGGGCUAAACCAUGCACCGAAGCUGCGGCAGCGACACUAUGUGUUGUUGGGUAGGGGAGCGUUCUGUAAGCCUGCGAAGGUGUGCUGUGAGGCAUGCUGGAGGUAUCAGAAGUGCGAAUGCUGACAUAAGUAACGAUAAAGCGGGUGAAAAGCCCGCUCGCCGGAAGACCAAGGGUUCCUGUCCAACGUUAAUCGGGGCAGGGUGAGUCGACCCCUAAGGCGAGGCCGAAAGGCGUAGUCGAUGGGAAACAGGUUAAUAUUCCUGUACUCGGUGUUACUGCGAAGGGGGGACGGAGAAGGCUAUGUUGGCCGGGCGACGGUUGUCCCGGUUUAAGCAUGUAGGCGGAGGUUCCAGGUAAAUCCGGUACCUUUUAACGCUGAGGUGUGAUGACGAGGCACUACGGUGCUGAAGCAACAAAUGCCCUGCUUCCAGGAAAAGCCUCUAAGCAUCAGGUAACAUCAAAUCGUACCCCAAACCGACACAGGUGGUCAGGUAGAGAAUACCAAGGCGCUUGAGAGAACUCGGGUGAAGGAACUAGGCAAAAUGGUGCCGUAACUUCGGGAGAAGGCACGCUGAUAUGUAGGUGAAGCCCCUGCGGGUGGAGCUGAAAUCAGUCGAAGAUACCAGCUGGCUGCAACUGUUUAUUAAAAACACAGCACUGUGCAAACACGAAAGUGGACGUAUACGGUGUGACGCCUGCCCGGUGCCGGAAGGUUAAUUGAUGGGGUUAGCGGCAACGCGAAGCUCUUGAUCGAAGCCCCGGUAAACGGCGGCCGUAACUAUAACGGUCCUAAGGUAGCGAAAUUCCUUGUCGGGUAAGUUCCGACCUGCACGAAUGGCGUAAUGAUGGCCAGGCUGUCUCCACCCGAGACUCAGUGAAAUUGAAAUCGCUGUGAAGAUGCAGUGUACCCGCGGCAAGACGGAAAGACCCCGUGAACCUUUACUAUAGCUUGACACUGAACACUGGUCCUUGAUGUGUAGGAUAGGUGGGAGGCUUUGAAGUGUGGACGCCAGUCUGCAUGGAGCCGUCCUUGAAAUACCACCCUUUAAUGGCUGGUGUUCUAACGUGGACCCGUUACCCGGGUUGCGGACAGUGUCUGGUGGGUAGUUUGACUGGGGCGGUCUCCUCCUAAAGAGUAACGGAGGAGCACGAAGGUCAGCUAAUCCUGGUCGGACAUCAGGAGGUUAGUGCAAUGGCAUAAGCUGGCUUGACUGCGAGAGUGACGGCUCGAGCAGGUGCGAAAGCAGGUCAUAGUGAUCCGGUGGUUCUGAAUGGAAGGGCCAUCGCUCAACGGAUAAAAGGUACUCCGGGGAUAACAGGCUGAUACCGCCCAAGAGUUCAUAUCGACGGCGGUGUUUGGCACCUCGAUGUCGGCUCAUCACAUCCUGGGGCUGAAGUAGGUCCCAAGGGUAUGGCUGUUCGCCAUUUAAAGUGGUACGCGAGCUGGGUUUAGAACGUCGUGAGACAGUUCGGUCCCUAUCUGCCGUGGGCGCUGGAGAAUUGAGGGGGCUGCUCCUAGUACGAGAGGACCGGAGUGGACGCAUCACUGGUGUUCGGGUUGUCAUGCCAAUGGCACUGCCCGGUAGCUAAAUGUGGAAGAGAUAAGUGCUGAAAGCAUCUAAGCACGAAACUUGCCCCGAGAUGAGUUCUCCCUGACCCUUCGAGGGUCCUGAAGGAACGUUGAAGACGACGACGUUGAUAGGCCGGGUGUGUAAGCGCAGCGAUGCGUUGAGCUAACCGGUACUAAUGAACCGUGAGGCUUAACCUUACAACGCCGAAGCUGUU
Molecule: ribosomal RNA, 2928 nt
Filed under: Leclercia sp. W6
Lineage: Bacteria; Pseudomonadati; Pseudomonadota; Gammaproteobacteria; Enterobacterales; Enterobacteriaceae
Description: bacterial LSU rRNA
Rfam family: Bacterial large subunit ribosomal RNA
Source: RNAcentral